GUGAACGCUGGCGGUAGGCCUAACACAUGCCAGUCGCACGGCAGCACAGUAAGAGCUUGCUCUUACGGGUGGCGAGUGGCGGACGGGUGAGGAAUACAUCGGAAUCUACUUUUUCGUGGGGGAUAACGUAGGGAAACUUACGCUAAUACCGCAUACGACCUACGGGUGAAAGCAGGGGAUCUUCGGACCUUGCGCGAUUGAAUGAGCCGAUGUCGGAUUAGCUAGUUGGCGGGGUAAAGGCCCACCAAGGCGACGAUCCGUAGCUGGUCUGAGAGGAUGAUCAGCCACACUGGAACUGAGAAACGGUCCAGACUCCUACGGGAGGCAGCAGUGGGGAAUAUUGGACAAUGGGCGCAAGCCUGAUCCAGCCAUACCGCGUGGGUGAAGAAGGCCUUCGGGUUGUAAAGCCCUUUUGUUGGGAAAGAAAAGCAGCAGGUUAAUACCCCGCUGUUCUGACGGUACCCAAAGAAUAAGCACCGGCUAACUUCGU
This 490-nucleotide ribosomal RNA is filed under the name uncultured bacterium. Its description in RNAcentral is "partial 16S ribosomal RNA". It matches the Rfam family "Bacterial small subunit ribosomal RNA", at positions 29 to 506 of the family's 1533-position model. The record is from RNAcentral.